AAGAGGAAGUGUGGGUGAGGAAAAGGAAGAAUCUAAAACAACAGGCAGCUCUCUGGCGUCAGCAACUGGUUUCUUAAACAUGGAUUCUGUGGACCCUGAGGACGAUGGAGAUGGAUAAUGGGCUGAUGUUACAAGGCUUGAGGGAGGCACAUCUCACAUGUACGCAUGAAAACCCAAACGGCAUGCCUGUGAAUUACAGAAGGAUCUGGAAUAAUCUAGAAAAAUCCACUGGCUACCAUGAGGCUGGAUUUCAGGCUUUGGGAUACUUUGGGCUUCUUUAUUGGACCUGAAUGUUCAUCAUCUCUCCAAUGGCAACGGCCAUUAUCUGCAUUGUGGCCUCAGGAGCAUGGCACACGAGGAGGGGUACUUUGGAGAACCAACGGAAAAGAGGACAGGGAAGCAGAAAAGCCCCAUCUACUCUCAGAUUCAGCCAUCCUUCUCCAUCCCAGGGCCAUUGUCUCAGCCUGGCCCCCUCUCCCCCAUCCUUGCAACAGCCUUCCUGCUAUUCCUCCUGACUCUGUCUCUACAUCACUAGCCAGAAGAACCAAAGCGAAGUCCUGCAUCUGUCUGGCCUCUUCUCUCCUCCCCAACACCUGCCCCAGUCAUGAAAAACCAUUGGCACACCCUUAAAAUCCCCUCCAAGUCUUGGCUUAUACUGUCCUCCCAUUUGGUUCUCUCUCCCGUUCUCAACUGACAAGAAAACGGUUUAUUCUUCUUCAGGACUCAGCCUGGGCUCAGCACCCCUGGAAAGCCCUGCCUCCCUUUCCCUGGGUGAGGACCCC
Molecule: long non-coding RNA, 782 nt
Organism: Nycticebus coucang (slow loris)
Lineage: Eukaryota; Metazoa; Chordata; Mammalia; Primates; Lorisidae
Exons: 3
Source: RefSeq, a predicted model, not a curated record